RNAcentral lists this non-coding RNA (137 nucleotides) under uncultured eukaryote. The record is from RNAcentral.
UGGAGGGCGAAUGAUUGGUGGCCGUCUUUCUUCCGUUCUGCUUGGAGGGAAAACGCUCGGAUUUUAUCAGUGGGAGUAAGUACUGGCCACUCGACGAUAAUCCACUCCCCCCUUCCGGCAUGAAACACCAGCCCAAG